RNAcentral lists this ribosomal RNA (465 nucleotides) under Vreelandella stevensii. Its description in RNAcentral is "partial 16S ribosomal RNA". It matches the Rfam family "Bacterial small subunit ribosomal RNA", at positions 338 to 795 of the family's 1533-position model. Lineage: Bacteria; Pseudomonadati; Pseudomonadota; Gammaproteobacteria; Oceanospirillales; Halomonadaceae. The record is from RNAcentral.
CCUACGGGUGGCUGCAGUGGGGAAUAUUGGACAAUGGGCGAAAGCCUGAUCCAGCCAUGCCGCGUGUGUGAAGAAGGCCUUCGGGUUGUAAAGCACUUUCAGUGGGGAAGAAAGCCUUGGGGCUAAUACCCUCGAGGAAGGACAUCACCCACAGAAGAAGCACCGGCUAACUCCGUGCCAGCAGCCGCGGUAAUACGGAGGGUGCGAGCGUUAAUCGGAAUUACUGGGCGUAAAGCGCGCGUAGGCGGUCUGAUAAGCCGGUUGUGAAAGCCCCGGGCUCAACCUGGGAACGGCAUCCGGAACUGUCAGGCUAGAGUGCAGGAGAGGAAGGUAGAAUUCCCGGUGUAGCGGUGAAAUGCGUAGAGAUCGGGAAGAAUACCAGUGGCGAAGGCGGCCUUCUGGACUGACACUGACGCUGAGGUGCGAAAGCGUGGGUAGCAAACAGGAUUAGAUACCCGAGUAGUC